RNAcentral lists this ribosomal RNA (302 nucleotides) under Sphingopyxis sp. DP_aq_194. RNAcentral's name for it is "bacterial SSU rRNA". It matches the Rfam family "Bacterial small subunit ribosomal RNA", at positions 43 to 374 of the family's 1533-position model. The record is from RNAcentral. Lineage: Bacteria; Pseudomonadati; Pseudomonadota; Alphaproteobacteria; Sphingomonadales; Sphingopyxidaceae.
CAUGCCUAAACAUGCAAGUCGAACGAAGUCUUCGGACUUAGUGGCGCACGGGUGCGUAACGCGUGGGAAUCUGCCCUUGGGUACGGAAUAACUCAGAGAAAUUUGUGCUAAUACCGUAUAAUGUCUUCGGACCAAAAAUUUAUCGCCCAAGGAUGAGCCCGCGUAAGAUUAGCUAGUUGGUGAGGUAAAAGCUCACCAAGGCGACGAUCUUUAGCUGGUCUGARAGGAUGAUCAGCCACACUGGGACUGAGACACGGCCCAGACUCCUACGGGAGGCAGCAGUGGGGAAUAUUGGACAAUGG